AGUGAACGCUGGCGGUAGGCCUAACACAUGCAAGUCGAACGGCAGCACAGUAAGAGCUUGCUCUUACGGGUGGCGAGUGGCGGACGGGUGAGGAAUACAUCGGAAUCUACUUUUUCGUGGGGGAUAACGUAGGGAAACUUACGCUAAUACCGCAUACGACCUACGGGUGAAAGCAGGGGAUCUUCGGACCUUGCGCGAUUGAAUGAGCCGAUGUCGGAUUAGCUAGUUGGCGGGGUAAAGGCCCACCAAGGCGACGAUCCGUAGCUGGUCUGAGAGGAUGAGCAGGCCAAAGGGGAAAUGGACACAGGGCCAGAACCCUACGGAGGGAGGCAGGGGGGAAUUUUGGAAAAGGGGGGCAAGCCUUAUCCCGCCAUACCGGGGGGGGGAAGAAGGCCUUGGGGUUGUAAAGCCCUUUUUUGGGGAAAAAAAAACAGCAGGUUAAUACCCCGCUGUUCUGACGGGACCCAAAGAAUAAGAACCGGCUAACUUCGU
Molecule: ribosomal RNA, 492 nt
Filed under: uncultured bacterium
Lineage: Bacteria
Description: partial 16S ribosomal RNA
Rfam family: Bacterial small subunit ribosomal RNA
Source: RNAcentral